RNAcentral lists this ribosomal RNA (461 nucleotides) under uncultured Campylobacterota bacterium. Its description in RNAcentral is "bacterial LSU rRNA". It matches the Rfam family "Bacterial large subunit ribosomal RNA", at positions 1369 to 1807 of the family's 2925-position model. The record is from RNAcentral. Lineage: Bacteria; Pseudomonadati; Campylobacterota.
UCAUCGUAGGGGUUAGUCGGGACCUAAGCCGAGUCCGAGAGGGGUAGGCGAUGGAAAAUCGGUUAAUAUUCCGAUACCAAUUACAGAGCGCGAUGGAAGGACGCUUAGGGCUAAGCGAGGUCACUGAUGGAAUAGUGGCUCGAAGGGUGUAGGUUGAGAUAUAGGCAAAUCCGUAUCUCUCUAUCCGAGACCUGACAGGCACCUGAAGUUCUUCGGAACGGAAGGUGAAUCGCUGAUGCCGUCGAGCCUAGAAAAGUUUCUAAGUAUAUCUGUAAUUGCCCGUACCGUAAACCGACACAGGUGGGUGAGAUGAGUAUUCUAAGGCGCGUGGAUGAACCCUGGUUAAGGAACUCUGCAAAAUAGCACCGUAUCUUCGGUAUAAGGUGUGCCUCCUUGGGUGUAGGGGACUUGCUCUCCGAAGCCCGAGAGGUUACAACAAAGAGUCCCUCCCGACUGUUUAC